CCAACACACAAAACAAGCGGUGAGUGCUUUGGGGUGGGGUGACUGCGUACCUUUUGUAUAAUGGGUCAGCGACUUAUAUUCUGUAGCAAGGUUAACCGUAUAGGGGAGCCGAAGGGAAACCGAGUCUUAACUGGGCGUUAAGUUGCAGGGUAUAGACCCGAAACCCGGUGAUCUAGCCAUGGGCAGGUUGAAGGUUGGGUAACACUAACUGGAGGACCGAACCGACUAAUGUUGAAAAAUUAGCGGAUGACUUGUGGCUGGGGGUGAAAGGCCAAUCAAACCGGGAGAUAGCUGGUUCUCCCCGAAAGCUAUUUAGGUAGCGCCUCGUGAACUCAUCUUCGGGGGUAGAGCACUGUUUCGGCUAGGGGGUCAUCCCGACUUACCAACCCGAUGCAAACUGCGAAUACCGAAGAAUGUUAUCACGGGAGACACACGGCGGGUGCUAACGUCCGUCGUGAAGAGGGAAACAACCCAGACCGCCAGCUAAGGUCCCAAAGUCACAGUUAAGUGGGAAACGAUGUGGGAAGGCUCAGACAGCCAGGAUGUUGGCUUAGAAGCAGCCAUCAUUUAAAGAAAGCGUAAUAGCUCACUGGUCGAGUCGGCCUGCGCGGAAGAUGUAACGGGGCUAAACUGUGCACCGAAGCUGCGGCAGCGACGCUUAUGCGUUGUUGGGUAGGGGAGCGUUCUGUAAGCCUGCGAAGGUGUCCUGUGAGGGAUGCUGGAGGUAUCAGAAGUGCGAAUGCUGACAUAAGUAACGAUAAUGCGGGUGAAAAGCCCGCUCGCCGGAAGACCAAGGGUUCCUGUCCAACGUUAAUCGGGGCAGGGUGAGUCGACCCCUAAGGCGAGGCCGAAAGGCGUAGUCGAUGGGAAACGGGUUAAUAUUCCCGUACUUGGUGUUACUGCGAAGGGGGGACGGAGAAGGCUAUGUUGGCCGGGCGACGGUUGUCCCGGUUUAAGCGUGUAGGCUGGUUUUCCAGGCAAAUCCGGAAAAUCAAG
RNAcentral lists this ribosomal RNA (996 nucleotides) under Salmonella enterica subsp. enterica serovar Kentucky. RNAcentral's name for it is "partial 23S ribosomal RNA". It matches the Rfam family "Bacterial large subunit ribosomal RNA", at positions 566 to 1554 of the family's 2925-position model. The record is from RNAcentral. Lineage: Bacteria; Pseudomonadati; Pseudomonadota; Gammaproteobacteria; Enterobacterales; Enterobacteriaceae.